RNAcentral lists this ribosomal RNA (253 nucleotides) under uncultured bacterium. RNAcentral describes it as "partial 16S ribosomal RNA". It matches the Rfam family "Bacterial small subunit ribosomal RNA", at positions 524 to 775 of the family's 1533-position model. The record is from RNAcentral.
UACGUAGGGUGCAAGCGUUAAUCGGAAUUACUGGGCGUAAAGCGUGCGCAGGCGGUUAUGUAAGACAGAUGUGAAAUGCCCGGGCUUAACCUGGGAACUGCAUUUGUGACUGCAUGGCUAGAAUCUGGCAGAGGGGGGUAGAAUUCCACGUGUAGCAGUGAAAUGCGUAGAUAUGUGGAGGAACACCGAUGGCGAAGGCAGCCCCCUGGGUCAAGAUUGACGCUCGAUGCACGAAAGCGUGGGGAGCAAACAG